This 341-nucleotide ribosomal RNA is filed under the name Enterobacteriaceae bacterium R-32654. Its description in RNAcentral is "bacterial SSU rRNA". It matches the Rfam family "Bacterial small subunit ribosomal RNA", at positions 85 to 429 of the family's 1533-position model. Lineage: Bacteria; Pseudomonadati; Pseudomonadota; Gammaproteobacteria; Enterobacterales; Enterobacteriaceae. The record is from RNAcentral.
UGGGUGACGAGUGGCGGACGGGUGAGUAAUGUCUGGGGAUCUGCCCGAUAGAGGGGGAUAACCACUGGAAACGGUGGCUAAUACCGCAUAACGUCGCAAGACCAAAGAGGGGGACCUUCGGGCCUCUCACUAUCGGAUGAACCCAGAUGGGAUUAGCUAGUAGGCGGGGUAAUGGCCCACCUAGGCGACGAUCCCUAGCUGGUCUGAGAGGAUGACCAGCCACACUGGAACUGAGACACGGUCCAGACUCCUACGGGAGGCAGCAGUGGGGAAUAUUGCACAAUGGGCGCAAGCCUGAUGCAGCCAUGCCGCGUGUAUGAAGAAGGCCUUCGGGUUGUAAA